This 253-nucleotide ribosomal RNA is filed under the name uncultured bacterium. Its description in RNAcentral is "partial 16S ribosomal RNA". It matches the Rfam family "Bacterial small subunit ribosomal RNA", at positions 524 to 776 of the family's 1533-position model. The record is from RNAcentral.
UACAGAGGUCCCAAGCGUUGUUCGGAUUCACUGGGCGUAAAGGGUGCGUAGGUGGUGGGGUAAGUUGGAUGUGAAAGCUCCGAGCUUAACUCGGAAAUGGCAUUCAAAACUACCUUGCUAGAGGGUUGGAAGGGGGACUGGAAUUCUCGGUGUAGCAGUGAAAUGCGUAGAUAUUCGGAAGAACACCAGUGGCGAAGGCGGCUCACUGGACGACUGUUGACGCUGAGGUACGAAAGCGUGGGGAGCAAACAGG